UGAGUUUGAUCCUGGCUCAGGAUGAACGCUAGCGGCAGGCCUAAUACAUGCAAGUCGAACGAGAUUCUAUUCUUCGGGAUAGAUGAAAGUGGCGCACGGGUGCGUAACGCGUAUGCAACCUACCCUUAACAGGGGGAUAGCCCAGAGAAAUUUGGAUUAAUACCCCAUAGUAUUACAAGAUGGCAUCUGAAAGUAAUUAAAGAUUUAUCGGUUAAGGAUGGGCAUGCGUAACAUUAGCUAGUUGGUGAGGUAACGGCUCACCAAGGCAACGAUGUUUAGGGGUUCUGAGAGGAUGAUCCCCCACACUGGUACUGAGAUACGGACCGGACUCCUACGGGAGGCAGCAGUAGGGAAUAUUGGUCAAUGGGCGAGAGCCUGAACCAGCCAUGCCGCGUGCAGGAAGACAGCUUUCUGAGUUGUAAACUGCUUUUAUAUGGGAAGAAAAAGGCCUUGCGAGGCAAAUUGCCGGUACCAUAUGAAUAAGCACCGGCUAACUCCGUGCC
This 503-nucleotide ribosomal RNA is filed under the name uncultured bacterium. Its description in RNAcentral is "bacterial SSU rRNA". It matches the Rfam family "Bacterial small subunit ribosomal RNA", at positions 1 to 509 of the family's 1533-position model. The record is from RNAcentral.